This 823-nucleotide ribosomal RNA is filed under the name Priestia megaterium. Its description in RNAcentral is "bacterial SSU rRNA". It matches the Rfam family "Bacterial small subunit ribosomal RNA", at positions 48 to 863 of the family's 1533-position model. Lineage: Bacteria; Bacillati; Bacillota; Bacilli; Caryophanales; Bacillaceae. The record is from RNAcentral.
AUGCUAUAAUGCAGUCGAGCGACUGAUUAGAAGCUUGCUUCUAUGACGUUAGCGGCGGAYGGGUGAGUAACACGUGGGCAACCUGCCUGUAAGACUGGGAUAACUUCGGGAAACCGAAGCUAAUACCGGAUAGGAUCUUCUCCUUCAUGGGAGAUGAUUGAAAGAUGGUUUCGGCUAUCACUURCAGAUGGGCCCGCGGUGCAUUAGCUAGUUGGUGAGGUAACGGCUCACCAAGGCAACGAUGCAUAGCCGACCUGAGAGGGUGAUCGGCCACACUGGGACUGAGACACGGCCCAGACUCCUACGGGAGGCAGCAGUAGGGAAUCUUCCGCAAUGGACGAAAGUCUGACGGAGCAACGCCGCGUGAGUGAUGAAGGCUUUCGGGUCGUAAAACUCUGUUGUUAGGGAAGAACAAGUACAAGAGUAACUGCUUGUACCUUGACGGUACCUAACCAGAAAGCCACGGCUAACUACGUGCCAGCAGCCGCGGUAAUACGUAGGUGGCAAGCGUUAUCCGGAAUUAUUGGGCGUAAAGCGCGCGCAGGCGGUUUCUUAAGUCUGAUGUGAAAGCCCACGGCUCAACCGUGGAGGGUCAUUGGAAACUGGGGAACUUGAGUGCAGAAGAGAAAAGCGGAAUUCCACGUGUAGCGGUGAAAUGCGUAGAGAUGUGGAGGAACACCAGUGGCGAAGGCGGCUUUUUGGUCUGUACUGACGCUGAGGCGCGAAAGCGKGGGGGAGCAAACAGGAUAGAUACCUGGUAGUCCMCSCCGUAAACGAUGAGUGCUAGUGUARAGGUUUCGCUUCGUGCUGCAGCUACGCAUAG